Long non-coding RNA from Hyaena hyaena (striped hyena), 307 nucleotides. RefSeq lists it as uncharacterized. The transcript is spliced from 3 exons. The record is from RefSeq and is a predicted model, not a curated record. Lineage: Eukaryota; Metazoa; Chordata; Mammalia; Carnivora; Hyaenidae.
UCAUGGCACUGAUGAAUGAUAUAUGACUGAGGUCCAGUCAGAAAUCUCUCUGGAGAUGUCAGUGAGAGGGAAUUCCAUAGAGGACAUUGACCAGGUAAGACGUGUGAGAGCCAAGGGGCCCAACAGAGAAAGAAAGAGGAGAUUUCAUUAGGCUGAUUUUUCUUGGGGAAUGAGAUUAAGCAGAGCCGGUGCGCGCCUCACACGGAGGUGGGAUUCCCAGUGGGAGCCGAACCUGUCGUCAAGAGUCCGUGAGGCAAAGGAAGCCGGCCUGGCCCAAAUGGCAUAGUGCAACGGUCAGAGCCCAGCC